GAUGAACGCUGGCGGCGUGCCUAAUACAUGCAAGUAGAACGCUGAAGGAGGAGCUUGCUCUUCUGGAUGAGUUGCGAACGGGUGAGUAACGCGUAGGUAACCUGCCUGGUAGCGGGGGAUAACUAUUGGAAACGAUAGCUAAUACCGCAUGACAACAGUUAUUGCAUAAUAACUGUUUAAAAGGGGCAACUGCUCCACUACCAGAUGGACCUGCGUUGUAUUAGCUAGUUGGUGAGGUAACGGCUCACCAAGGCGACGAUACAUAGCCGACCUGAGAGGGUGAUCGGCCACACUGGGACUGAGACACGGCCCAGACUCCUACGGGAGGCAGCAGUAGGGAAUCUUCGGCAAUGGACGGAAGUCUGACCGAGCAACGCCGCGUGAGUGAAGAAGGUUUUCGGAUCGUAAAGCUCUGUUGUAAGAGAAGAACGAGUGUGAGAGUGGAAAGUUCACACUGUGACGGUAUCUUACCAGAAAGGGACGGCUAACUACGUG
This 495-nucleotide ribosomal RNA is filed under the name uncultured bacterium. RNAcentral describes it as "partial 16S ribosomal RNA". It matches the Rfam family "Bacterial small subunit ribosomal RNA", at positions 28 to 507 of the family's 1533-position model. The record is from RNAcentral.